GAACAAGUUCUGCAUGAGCUGUUGCAUCUGUGGCUCUGAUUCACAUACCCAGUGCCUCUGGAGUGUUUGCACAGUGCUCAUGUUCAACAUGAAUAGUAAUAUUUUGCUUCGAGAACUAAGAGCUGAGCGACUGACAUGUUCUGGCCUGGUCUCCCCGAAUAAAACAAUGUGGAUUCCGAUUCUUCUCAUGUGUUCCCUGCCCGGUCCCAGGCUGAGAUGAUAGUGGUCUCCUUCAAGCAGGUGGGGACCUCACUUUGAAGAAGUGUGAGGUUAAAACUGUCUGCAAAUAUCCCCGCCAACUGAUCUACACAGGAUCUAAGGACACGUCUGGGGACACCAUCUGGACCAGAUGCUUUCUGUGGGUUCACUCUCCAGAAGACUGAUCAGGAAUGGGUUGCUUUUAUCCAUUCCUGCUAAAGUUUUAACUCCAAGCAUUACACCAUUUCCAUUAGUCACUGAGAAUUUAGUGUUAUGUGUUAAAUAUAACCACGAGUAUUGCAUACUGUAACGUGUUAAACUGCUGCUGGCUGUCUGUGGUUUCCUGAUCAGACUUCCUGCUACCUUCUUCCUCAUUUCUAUUUUGCUCUGAGGACUCAGUUGAGUGACUGACAAGUGUUGGCUUGGUCUUUACAAGCAUAGCAAUGUGGAUCGAUUCUUCUCAUCAGUUCCCUGCCCGGUGAGUGACAGCCAGAGUGGGACAUUUCGAUAAUCAGUGUUCGUUUGAGUCUUGUGCACUGUUUCCACAGCAGAGGUGGUUAAAAAUGUGUAGAGGUGUAAAGGUGGAAAAUAUGGCAUUAUGGUGUGUACUUGUAGUUUCUUUGAUCUGCACCUCCUUAGCAGAGAAAUAUUCACCAAUAUGUCUGAGACUCCAUUAGGAAUUGUGAAUUUAAAGCUACAUUUAACUUACAAAGACUGUGCAAGUGACACAGAUGGAUGGUAAUGAUUUUUCUCUGUAUUAAAAACUGCUCCAUUGCUCUCCAGGGCCUGCUGAAGGCACCAGUGGAAGUAAUCUCUCAAAUGUAAUUUCUCUCCCGUUCACAACUCACUUCUGUUCUUUGAAAUACAUUUGA
Pristis pectinata (smalltooth sawfish) is the source of this 1070-nucleotide long non-coding RNA. RefSeq lists it as uncharacterized. The transcript is spliced from 3 exons. NCBI's taxonomy places the organism in Eukaryota, Metazoa, Chordata, Chondrichthyes, Rhinopristiformes, Pristidae. The record is from RefSeq and is a predicted model, not a curated record.